RNAcentral lists this ribosomal RNA (253 nucleotides) under uncultured Comamonadaceae bacterium. RNAcentral describes it as "partial 16S ribosomal RNA". It matches the Rfam family "Bacterial small subunit ribosomal RNA", at positions 524 to 776 of the family's 1533-position model. Lineage: Bacteria; Pseudomonadati; Pseudomonadota; Betaproteobacteria; Burkholderiales; Comamonadaceae. The record is from RNAcentral.
UACGUAGGGUGCAAGCGUUAAUCGGAAUUACUGGGCGUAAAGCGUGCGCAGGCGGCUUUGCAAGACAGAUGUGAAAUCCCCGGGCUCAACCUGGGAACUGCAUUUGUGACUGCAAGGCUAGAGUGCGGCAGAGGGGGAUGGAAUUCCGCGUGUAGCAGUGAAAUGCGUAGAUAUGCGGAGGAACACCGAUGGCGAAGGCAACCCCCUGGGCCUGUACUGACGCUCAUGCACGAAAGCGUGGGGAGCAAACAGG